UACGCUUCUCGCCUUUUGACAAAGAUCAACAUUGAUUUUUGUAUAGUAUCUGUUCACUUAUCAUUUAAUAUCGAUACGUCCCCUAUCUGGGACCAAUUAUUAAAUGGAUUUUUGAACAGGGGAGAUGGGAAGAAGAGCUUGCUCUGGUCCACUCCACGCAUCGACCUGGUAUUGCCAUACCUCCAGGACCGGCUGCACCCUCC
RNAcentral lists this small nuclear RNA (203 nucleotides) under Xenopus tropicalis (tropical clawed frog). Its description in RNAcentral is "U2 spliceosomal RNA (ENSXETG00000048097.1)". It matches the Rfam family "U2 spliceosomal RNA". Rfam says of the family: U2 is a small nuclear RNA (snRNA) component of the spliceosome (involved in pre-mRNA splicing). Complementary binding between U2 snRNA (in an area lying towards the 5' end but 3' to hairpin I) and the branchpoint sequence (BPS) of the intron results the bulging out of an unpaired adenosine, on the BPS, which initiates a nucleophilic attack at the intronic 5' splice site, thus starting the first of two transesterification reactions that mediate splicing. The record is from Rfam by way of RNAcentral. Lineage: Eukaryota; Metazoa; Chordata; Amphibia; Anura; Pipidae.